ACUCUACUUGCAGUUUACUUUAGGGAAUUGUGGUUAUAGGACUCAGCAGUAGGUUGGAGUUUUUUCGGUUUGAUCAGGGGUCAUAAUCUGUCAUACUUUAUAAGAAUUAUCAAGCAUCAAAACCAUGAUCCAACAAAGAAAAAGAUUUUUUGCAAUUAUGUGAAAUUUUACAAGGGAUUUUUUAUGAUGAUUGUAAAGUGGACAUAGAUUGUAAUGGGUUUGUUUACAUGUAUGAAAUGGUAGCAGGAACUGAUGAAAUGAUAUAAUUUGGCAAUGAUGCAGAUCAUGAAGGUAACUGGAACUGGAUAAUGUAGUCACAUGAGACAAACACUGAACCUUUGAGCAACAAAUGCUCCUUAGGUGUUUAGCAUGAAACCUCAUGCCCACUGUUAAGUGAAGGGAAGGACCUUUAGGCGUGUUUCUGUUUUAUAAUCCAACAGUGUAUGAUAUCCAGGACCCUUUAAAAUAUUGGGACAUUUAAACACCAAUCUGAUGGAAUCUACCGAAAAACUUUAAAUGGGUUGUCUUUCGGCCAUAUGUUUUGGAUAAUGAGCCUGAUGUCAGGAUCUGUGUUGUGGUUCUGUGUUUGUGUUUUCUCCUGUCUCUCUGGAACUGCAUUUUUUCCUGAGGGUGGGGCUGAGCAGCUCAGCUGCACUUCAUCUGAGCUCGUCAGCCCGAGCAUAGGAGGAGCUGGUUUCGACGCCUGAGUGUCCUUUGUUGUACCUCUAGCCUCCAUGUGCCAGUCUCUGUCCAGUCUCUGAGUUUUUGAAUCUCCAGCUAAUUCCUUGUUGCUUGUUUCUCCAAGGUUACCUCCAAGCUCCUGCCUAAACUCUCUCAAACACCUCCUGGACUCACUGAUUUCCUCGCUCUGUGGUCCCUGCUGAUCAGAACAAACAACUGGUUUCCUAUUGGCUCAAACUUAAACAAAUCCUGUCCACCCUCCAAUGUUACAUCAUCUGCUGAAAUUCAUUGUACACAGAACUGCUUAAGACCCUGAGAGACCCUCCUCCUAUUUCAGACUGCUCAUCAGCACCAUGAUUUACUUUCUGAACCCUGGAGCCAUCUUUGACCUGAUUGCUCGCUCUCCUGCCAGUUCAAAUAAAUUGUUCAACUUG
This is a long non-coding RNA of Girardinichthys multiradiatus, 1115 nucleotides long. RefSeq lists it as uncharacterized. NCBI's taxonomy places the organism in Eukaryota, Metazoa, Chordata, Actinopteri, Cyprinodontiformes, Goodeidae. The record is from RefSeq and is a predicted model, not a curated record. The transcript is spliced from 2 exons.